CAGCAGCCGCGGUAAUACGAAGGGGGCUAGCGUUGUUCGGAAUCACUGGGCGUAAAGGGUGCGUAGGCGGAUUCUUAAGUCAGGGGUGAAAUCCCGAGGCUCAACCUCGGAACUGCCUUUGAUACUGGGGAUCUUGAGUCCGGAAGAGGUGAGUGGAACUGCGAGUGUAGAGGUGAAAUUCGUAGAUAUUCGCAAGAACACCGGUGGCGAAGGCGGCUCACUGGUCCGGAACUGACGCUGAGGCACGACAGCGUGGGGAGCAAACAGGAUUAGAUACCCCUGUAGUCCCUGUCUCUUAUAC
This 301-nucleotide ribosomal RNA is filed under the name uncultured bacterium. RNAcentral describes it as "partial 16S ribosomal RNA". It matches the Rfam family "Bacterial small subunit ribosomal RNA", at positions 509 to 807 of the family's 1533-position model. The record is from RNAcentral.